AAGUAUGAAGCGAUUUAUUGCAAUUAGUUUCGACCUAAUCUUAGAUACCUAAUAUCCUUACUUU
This 64-nucleotide transfer RNA is filed under the name Parachauliodes buchi. RNAcentral's name for it is "tRNA-Arg". Lineage: Eukaryota; Metazoa; Arthropoda; Insecta; Megaloptera; Corydalidae. The record is from RNAcentral.